UCCGGCUUAUCACCGGCAGUUUCGUCUGAGUGCCCAACUUAAUGCUGGCAACAGAAGAUAAGGGUUGCGCUCGUUGCGGGACUUAACCCAACAUCUCACGACACGAGCUGACGACAGCCAUGCAGCACCUGUCACCGAUCCAACUAAAUGACGGAAAGCAUCUCUGCUCUCCUCAAUCGGGAUGUCAAGGCCUGGUAAGGUUCUUCGCGUUGCGUCGAAUUAAACCACAUGCUCCACCGCUUGUGCGGGUCCCCGUCAAUUCCUUUGAGUUUUAAUCUUGCGACCGUACUCCCCAGGCGGUGUGCUUAGUGCGUUAGCUGCGCCACCGAACGGUAAACCGUCCAGUAGCUAGCACACAUCGUUUACGGUGUGGACUAC
This 378-nucleotide unclassified non-coding RNA is filed under the name uncultured bacterium. RNAcentral describes it as "contains 16S-23S intergenic spacer region". The record is from RNAcentral.